GAUGAACGCUGGCGGCGUGCCUAAUACAUGCAAGUCGAGCGAACAGAUGAGGAGCUUGCUCCUCUGACGUUAGCGGCGGACGGGUGAGUAACACGUGGAUAACCUACCUAUAAGACUGGGAUAACUUCGGGAAACCGGAGCUAAUACCGGAUAAUAUAUUGAACCGCAUGGUUCAAUAGUGAAAGACGGUUUUGCUGUCACUUAUAGAUGGAUCCGCGCCGCAUUAGCUAGUUGGUAAGGUAACGGCUUACCAAGGCAACGAUGCGUAGCCGACCGGAGAGGGGGGUCGGCCACACGGGAACUGAACCGCGGUCCAGGCGCCUACGGGAGGCAGCAGUAGGGAAUCUUCCGCAAUUGGCGGAAGCCUGGCGGAGCAACGGCGCGUGGGUGGUGGAGGUCUUCGGAUCGUAAAACCCUGUUAUUAGGGAAGAACAAAUGUGUAAGGAACUAAGCACGUCUUGACGGUACCUAAUCAGAAAGCCACGGCUAACUACGUG
RNAcentral lists this ribosomal RNA (497 nucleotides) under uncultured bacterium. RNAcentral's name for it is "partial 16S ribosomal RNA". It matches the Rfam family "Bacterial small subunit ribosomal RNA", at positions 28 to 507 of the family's 1533-position model. The record is from RNAcentral.